GACGAACGCUGGCGGCGUGCUUGACACAUGCAAGUCGAACGGAAAGGCCCUGCUUUUGUGGGGUGCUCGAGUGGCGAACGGGUGAGUAACACGUGAGUAACCUGCCCUUGACUUUGGGAUAACUUCAGGAAACUGGGGCUAAUACCGGAUAGGAGCUCCUGCUGCAUGGUGGGGGUUGGAAAGUUUCGGCGGUCGGGGAUGGACUCGCGGCUUAUCAGCUUGUUGGUGGGGUAGUGGCUUACCAAGGCUUUGACGGGUAGCCGGCCUGAGAGGGUGACCGGCCACAUUGGGACUGAGAUACGGCCCAGACUCCUACGGGAGGCAGCAGUGGGGAAUAUUGCACAAUGGGCGGAAGCCUGAUGCAGCAACGCCGCGUGCGGGAUGACGGCCUUCGGGUUGUAAACCGCUUUCGCCUGUGACGAAGCGUGAGUGACGGUAAUGGGUAAAGAAGCACCGGCUAACUACGUG
This 468-nucleotide ribosomal RNA is filed under the name uncultured bacterium. Its description in RNAcentral is "partial 16S ribosomal RNA". It matches the Rfam family "Bacterial small subunit ribosomal RNA", at positions 28 to 507 of the family's 1533-position model. The record is from RNAcentral.